UAGUCCACACCGUAAACGCUGUCUACUAACUGUGUGUGAAUUUAAUUCGUGCGUAGUGAAGCUAACGCGCUAAGUAGACCGCCUGGGGAGUACGGCCGCAAGGUUAAAACUCAAAUGAAUUGACGGGGGCCCGCACAAGCGGUGGAGCAUGCGGUUUAAUUCGAUGCAACGCGAAGAACCUUACCUACUCUUGACAUACUGAGAACUUUCCAGAGAUGGAUUGGUGCCUUCGGGAGCUCAGAUACAGGUGCUGCAUGGCUGUCGUCAGCUCGUGUCGUGAGAUGUUGGGUUAAGUCCCGCAACGAGCGCAACCCUUGUCCUUAUUUGCCAUCAUUCAGUUGGGCACUCAUGCGAGACUGCCGGUGUUAAGCCGGAGGAAGGUGGGGACGACGUCAAGUCAUCAUGGCCCUUACGUGUAGGGCUACAAACGUGCUACAAUGGGAGUUACAGUGGGCAGCGACGUCGCGAGGCGAAGCUAAUCCCUAAAAGCUCUCUC
This 496-nucleotide ribosomal RNA is filed under the name uncultured bacterium. Its description in RNAcentral is "bacterial SSU rRNA". It matches the Rfam family "Bacterial small subunit ribosomal RNA", at positions 791 to 1289 of the family's 1533-position model. The record is from RNAcentral.